CCAACAACCAACUUAAUAGACAUUAACCUAUCAUUCAGUCGCCUAACCUCGACCACGGACUCCCUUAGAUCCCUAUCCACCAAGAUGCCCACUCCAUUCUUACCUCUCACGACCCCAGAGUACCACAGCUUAAACCCGUCUACGUUCCUCGCCUUCGACCCUUUCCACCUAGUCUCCUGGACACAGGCUAUGUUAACCCUCCUUUGAAGAACCUUCACCAACUCAAUGGACUUACCCGUCAGAGUGCCUAUGUUCCACGACCCAAUCCUUAAUCUAUGAGCGUCCGCUACCCUCUUCCCACCCUCACCUCCCGCCCUACCCGUCGUCUACGUUCCUCGCCUUCGAUCCUUUCCACCUAGUCUCCUGAACACAGGCUAUGUUAACCCUCCUCUUCUGGAGAACCUUCGCCAACUCAAUGGACUUA
This 424-nucleotide long non-coding RNA is filed under the name Nicotiana benthamiana. RNAcentral describes it as "long non-coding RNA (NBEN_LNC026244)". Lineage: Eukaryota; Viridiplantae; Streptophyta; Magnoliopsida; Solanales; Solanaceae. The record is from RNAcentral.